RNAcentral lists this ribosomal RNA (270 nucleotides) under uncultured archaeon. RNAcentral's name for it is "partial 16S ribosomal RNA". It matches the Rfam family "Archaeal small subunit ribosomal RNA", at positions 477 to 747 of the family's 1478-position model. The record is from RNAcentral.
CAGCACCUCAAGUGGUCAGGAUGAUUAUUGGGCCUAAAGCAUCCGUAGCCGGCUUUGUUAGUUUUCGGUUAAAUCUGUACGCUUAACGUACAGGCUGCCGGAAAUACUGCAGAGCUAGGGAGUGGGAGAGGUAGACGGUACUCGGUAGGAAGGGGUAAAAUCCUUUGAUCUAUUGAUGACCACCUGUGGCGAAGGCGGUCUACCAGAACACGUCCGACGGUGAGGGAUGAAAGCUGGGGGAGCAAACCGGAUUAGAUACCCGAGUAGUCC